CUGCUUCUCAAGAAAAAAAAGAAGAAGAAGAAGAUCUUGUCACAGAGGCACAUGCAAAAUGUCAUGUGCCAUCAAGGCAGAGAUUGCAGUGCUGUAUCUGCAAGCCAAGAAAUGCCGAGGGCGGCUGGCCCUCAGAGGUCGAAGGAGGCAGUGAAGGCUCCUCCCCACCCCAGGCUUCGGAGGGCUCUGCUGACACCUUCAUUUCUGAUUUCUGCCCUCCAGAAAGCUUCUAGAGGUCGCCUGCACUCCUCGGCUCAUGGCCCCCUCCUCCACCCACAAAGCGCAUCACUCCAGCCGCUGCCUCUGUCUCCACAUCACCUUCUUCCCCAAGACUGACUCCUGUGUCCCUCUCAUAAGGACCCUUGUGGUUACAUCAACCCACCAGCUGUCCUAAGGAAAGAGCCAGAUCCCUGAGGCAGCCCAGAGAAGCCAAGUCUAAGGUGUCAAGAGGUCAUGGGCAGAAUCUCCCAAGGCAGCCAGCUGGCCGAGUGACAAAUGACGACAAUCACAGAUUUGUGGAGAGUGCAAGCAUUCUUCAGAAACUCCCAAAAAUACCAGCGAGGGGAAACUGGUAAGUGGACUUCCUCGAGGACUCACGCACAGUGCAGAACAGACCACUGUCCCAUGAGCUUGCAGGGACACAAAGGCCCCUAAACACUGGCCCACACAGCACGGAGUCACACUUGCCCCUCCCUCUUGCCUACGGUCACUCCCCAGCCACAGUUG
Molecule: long non-coding RNA, 726 nt
Filed under: Piliocolobus tephrosceles (Ugandan red Colobus)
Lineage: Eukaryota; Metazoa; Chordata; Mammalia; Primates; Cercopithecidae
Description: lncRNA (ENSPTEG00000002721.1)
Source: RNAcentral